Molecule: ribosomal RNA, 80 nt
Filed under: Vaucheria bursata
Lineage: Eukaryota; Xanthophyceae; Vaucheriales; Vaucheriaceae
Description: partial 5.8S ribosomal RNA
Source: RNAcentral
GCAAGACCAGUGAAUCAAUAAUUUUCGAACGCACAUUGCACCGUGAGCGAAASAUCGGUCUGCUUACGAGAAAGGGCCGG